Molecule: long non-coding RNA, 1344 nt
Organism: Armigeres subalbatus
Lineage: Eukaryota; Metazoa; Arthropoda; Insecta; Diptera; Culicidae
Exons: 4
Source: RefSeq, a predicted model, not a curated record
UAUGCGAAUGAUUUCAAAAUUAAAAAUUUAAUGAAUACUCGUGGUUGGACAUUCUGUAUAGUAAAAUAAAGUAUUAUAUGUGAGUGAAUUUAAUUGAAUCGUUGGGAAAUCAGUGAAAUCUAUUUUCUGAGAGUUCAGCUCUUAACGAUAAAUGUUAGUACAUCAAACGACAAAUCAAAUCUUGAUUAGAGAUAAGCAUAGCCAAUUCAGUUAUAACAUGUUAUUACUAAUGAACAAAAUUUUGUGGGUGUACUACGUGGAUGUGUGAAACCAAACUGAAAGAGUAAUACAAACAAUGUUUGAACAGAUUUCAAAACACUGAACGCUAUCAACAGAAGUGAAACUUCAAAUGAACUCUUCUCCCUGCGAAUAACCCCUGGAUCGAUUUCCCCCAGCUUCUGGCAAUAGUAUUGUAUAGCAUCGUUAAAUAAAGUGAUAUUUCCCCGUCUGCCGCCCUGCUCCCAAGAGACAGCACAACGGUUAGAAGACCACAACGCCGAAGGGGGACACAUCCGUAAUAACAAAAAGCCUAUAUGCGGUAUGAUUUUACCCAAUCCAUUCAUGAAAAGACACCCGGUGAAAGUGUGAAAAUGUACGUACGCUGAGGGUUUUUCCUGCCGAAAAAAAAAGAGGAAAACGAAGUUAUUGUGGGGCUCCCCUCGAGGAAAGCGCACCGUAACGGUAAUAGAGGAAAAGCCAGACGAGACCAAUACAAGUCACGUACAGACUGCUGUAUCUCCCCGGUUCACAAAUCCUUCUGGCUUUCGGUGUGUUGGUUAAUGUUUUGUUGAUGUUUUGCUCGCAAUUUUUCUUCCGGACCGAGAAUGCACCGGCAGUGAGAGUGAGAAAAACGCACUGAGAAAUUUUCUGAGUGGUGACCAGUGAAAGUGAGUGCUGCUGUGCGGUGACACGAUUCGAGGGCCCGGUGUUUGUGACAGUUUACGGUUGAGAGGGUUCCGCUUCUCAUUUUAUCAUCCAUCGGGUCGAGUGUUUGCCUAUGCACUUGAGUUUUCGGAUCGGAUGCGAAGCAAAAGAGUGUGAAUGAUGGUCAACAAAGAAAUUCAAUUAAAAGAAGAAUAAAGCAGCAGCGGUGGUGGCGGUAUCAACAUAAGUCUGUGCGAUUUAUCGUUGGGAGGCCAUUGAGUGCUUUUUUCGCACCAUUGUCCAAAAACGGAGGGGUUUUAGGGUUUGAGUGCAUGCGAACGGUGGAAAGGCGUUAUUUGUCAAUUUAGGAGAUCCAUGGCAUAGCAGAUUACUUGGAAUUCAAUUAAUAAUGAUCAUUCCUUGGCACGUUCCACGCCACCACGAUUUCAAAAGCAACGGAUCAUUGGCAGUUUGAAAGGU